CAUCCAUCCAUGGCUUGCAUCAAUACCUUGCAAAGCUGCUCUAUGUUCAAAGGCGCAGGCAGGAGAGGUAAAGCCAGCGGCGGGAAGGGAUCACCGACCUUCGGGUGCCGGGCGUCGACGUUCAUGGACGGCAACGGACUCCGGCUCGGGCUCGACGAGAACCCCGAUGCGAUCAUCUCUGGCGAGUGGCCUGAGAACUUCUCCCUCUUGAGCUACGAUGAUCUCCGCGCCUACCUCGAGUCACAGCAGCCUGCCCAAAUUAACGAUCAGGUGCUUGUCCUGGGAUUCUUCUUCUUGUCAGUUGUCACCAUUCUUGAUCUCUCCUCCUGAGCUUCUUCUUUAAGAUCUUGCUCGACUUUGAACGGGUUGACUUGGUGACAGCAGCGGGUGGCGCUCUUGCGUGAGACCAUGUCGACGCCUGUGCUGGUAGCCACAGCAGAGCAGACGCUGGAGGACGUUGCAUGUCACUUUGAGGCAGUGUCAGGCCUCCCAGUUGUAGACAGCACUCUCCGAUGUAUCGGAGUGGUCGUCAAGAGUGACCGGGCAAGAGCUUCUCAUGGGGUUAGCUCCUCCUUCUCUCCAUACACACACAAUUACUGCUAGUCUAAUUUACAUGAGACACACACAGUCUAAUUUACAAGGAAAGCAAACAUGAAAGGGAUAUCAUACACACGUACACAAGUUGUUGCCUCAAUAUCAGACGAGAGAACAAAAGCCAUGCUGCUUGCUGACCUAUUUGCUAAUUGUAACAGUCAA
This 756-nucleotide long non-coding RNA is filed under the name Brachypodium distachyon (stiff brome). Its description in RNAcentral is "long non-coding RNA (BDIS_LNC004042)". Lineage: Eukaryota; Viridiplantae; Streptophyta; Magnoliopsida; Poales; Poaceae. The record is from RNAcentral.